AGCAGCCGCCACGGGAAUACAGAGGGUGCGAGCGUUAAUCGGAUUUACUGGGCGUAAAGCGUGCGUAGGCGGCUUUUUAAGUCGGAUGUGAAAUCCCUGAGCUUAACUUAGGAAUUGCAUUCGAUACUGGGAAGCUAGAGUAUGGGAGAGGAUGGUAGAAUUCCAGGUGUAGCGGUGAAAUGCGUAGAGAUCUGGAGGAAUACCGAUGGCGAAGGCAGCCAUCUGGCCUAAUACUGACGCUGAGGUACGAAAGCAUGGGGAGCAAACAGGAUUAGAUACCCCCGUAGUCCCUGUCUCUUAUAC
This 303-nucleotide ribosomal RNA is filed under the name uncultured bacterium. RNAcentral's name for it is "partial 16S ribosomal RNA". It matches the Rfam family "Bacterial small subunit ribosomal RNA", at positions 507 to 807 of the family's 1533-position model. The record is from RNAcentral.